This 253-nucleotide ribosomal RNA is filed under the name uncultured bacterium. RNAcentral describes it as "partial 16S ribosomal RNA". It matches the Rfam family "Bacterial small subunit ribosomal RNA", at positions 524 to 776 of the family's 1533-position model. The record is from RNAcentral.
UACGUAGGGUGCAAGCGUUAAUCGGAAUUACUGGGCGUAAAGCGUGCGCAGGCGGUUGUGCAAGCCAGAUGUGAAAUCCCCGGGCUUAACCUGGGAAUUGCAUUUGUGACUGCACGGCUAGAGUGUGUCAGAGGGGGGUAGAAUUCCACGUGUAGCAGUGAAAUGCGUAGAUAUGUGGAGGAAUACCGAUGGCGAAGGCAGCCCCCUGGGAUAACACUGACGCUCAGGCACGAAAGCGUGGGGAGCAAACAGG